GGAUUUUGGCAAAGUCCAACGUCUGUGCCGUUUCUAAGGAAACAGCAGUGCGUCUAAGUUCGCUGAGCCGAAGCUGAACUAUUUGGAGGUUUCUUGAUGCAAUGAAAAGGAACGAACAGUGAAAACGCAAAAACAGGUGAAAUUAACUUAGUGGGAAUAAGCUGACCCAAUGGAGGAUCACAUGACCUCGUCAGACUCACCAGGUACCGGAUGCACUUCAGUUGCCAUGGUAAAGGACUCUGUAGGAGCUGAUGUGGACCUGCGUGUGCUGUGUGAUCGAGUGGAGGUCCUGGAGCAGAGAGCGGUUUCAGCCAUCCAGCCUGAGAGCUACCUGAGGAACAGGAUCAGAGAGUUGGAGACGUCAGAGAGGAGCCUCCUGCAGCAGCUAUAUCAGCUAGCGUCUGCCUCUCAGUUCCCCAACAUGCAACACUCCCAGAGGCUGGACCAGAGACUCCACAUGCUCAGGGAGGAGGUCAGAACCAUGACUCAGGAGAAGGAGCGAGAGGAGCGAGUGUGGAGGGAGCGACUGCAGCGCUGUCAGAGGCAACUGAAGGCCAAAGAGGAGGAGAUGAGUCGACAGGCCCAGUAUUUUGAAAACUUUAAAACCCAACUCCAACACAAGCUCAGCCUGGCCUGGGAGAGAGAGCAGAGCCUGCAGAAUCGCAUCUACACUUUAGAAAAGCAGCUACUUGACAUGACUGUGAGUGCCGCCACUGGUAUGACAACUAUCAGAGCAGUCCGAAUCACUGGUGGUACUGCGCAGUGCUUGGAACAAGACAGGCUAUCUUCCAUGAGGGGAGAGGGCGAAGGAGAAGAGGAGACCAAGGAAGAAAGGCGAAAGAAAUGGCAGCCAAGUGUUGGAACUGAGAGAGAAGAAAGGCAAAAGGGCAAUGAGGGAAAAGCAGAGAACAGCUUAGGAGGAGGAAGAAACAGUGACACAAAACAGUCCUCAAAUGAGGAAAGGUUACAAGGAUUCAUUGUAAGCCUGCAGGAGGAUCUUCGAGUGCUGCUGGAGAGAGAGGAGGAGAGGAUGACUGAGAGGAAGAGACUAAUGGAGCAGCUCCAGGAGGCCCAGGAGAGCAACCACUUCCUCAGCUGCAGCGUGGAUGAGAUGAAGGCAGAGAUCCAUCAGCUGAAACUAUCUGAGAACUCGCUAUUGGAGGAGCUUGAACAACUGAGAGAGGAGAACCUAAGACUGCAGAAGGUCCUCAGGGAUUCGGCUAACCACAUACCGAGCCAAUCAUCCACAUGCCUGAGUCCUGAGACCAGCACACCCAACUCCAGUCUAGCUGUUAAUUCUGGGACUGCCAGCAUUUUCUCAUAUUCCACUGCCAUGGGACAGCCAUCAGUAGCUUGCUCGGGAGAGGUGCAGCCUUAUUCAUCAGAAGUUCCACGUGUUCACCACCAGGGGACAGCAGAGAGCACACAGAGCAACACAGAGCGUUAUUCCUCAGCAGUUAAAUCAAAAAUGCCAACUAAAAGUCAUCCUGUAAACCUGUUUCACUACGGGUCUGAAUCCAGUGCCAACUUCAAGUCACUUUCCUUGACUACAGAAUCAAUAGAUGAAUUUAAACUUGGAAGCUGGUGCUCUGAGGGAAUCUUAAACUUAGAAGAGAGCCCCAGUGAGGAAUCUGAUGCCCUGAGGGAAGCUUACAGGAGCUUGGGGUUAGAUAGAGAUCUUAAAGCUCUUCAGGAGCAAUGUGACAACCUGAAGGUUGCUCUGCAGCGCACACAGAGUCAGCUAAAGGAGAUGGCUGAGGAAAAUGCUCAGUUGAAGUUACAACUCAGGAAGCAAGCAGAGGAACUAGAGGCAGAGACUGAGCAGAGGUCUUCAGCAGAAAAGAUUAACACACUCUCUACUUAUGGUGGGAAUGAUCAACCCAGGUCAUCUCCUACCCAAGAUGGCAACAUUCUUGCUCUUGCCCAGGAUGAUCUUAUCCAAAACCUGAAUCAGGAAAACAGGGCAUUGGCAGACAGGAUCCAGGAGCUUUUGGCUCACAUUGAGCGCAAAGAAGAUGACAUCACAAAGCAGCAAACCCAACUGAUGGAGCGUAUCUCCCAGCUAGAAGAGGAUCAGGUCAGGCUGGAGCAGGAGAACCGGGAACAGGGGUGUUUGAUCUCAGAACUCACCAAGAAGACUGAGGAUGAUCUGAACACCAUCAUGGAUCUGCAGCAGAAGUUAGUCCAGGGAGAAGAAGCUGCACACUUAAUGUUCAAUCAAGAAACUGACUCUAUGAAAACAGGAUCAGUAUCUGGUAGUCAGCAUAAUAAUCACUGUGACUUACUAAAGAGGAGCUCACAAAAAAAUCAUCUUCAUCUUGAUUCACAAAAAGAUGAAGCAGCCCAGCUGACCAAUUCAAUCCAGAACCUCAAAACAGAACAAGAAGAAUUGACUAAAUCCAUAAAUUCACUCAGAGAACAGCAAAGCGAAGUAGCUCUGUCAGUCCAAGUACAGACAGAAGAGAAACAGCAAUUAACUCGGACAGUAUGGGGACUGAAGGAGGAAAAAGACCACAUCUCUAAAGCUCUGGCUGACCUUAAACAAGAGAAAGAGCAGCUGAGCAGGGCAGUCUGUGGACUGAGAGAUGAAAGAGAACACUUUAAAAGGUCCAUGAACGGCCUAAAAGAGGAGAAAGAGCAGCUAACCAAGUCUUUAUCUGCUCUUGAAAGAGAUAAAGGGGCAAUAUUUGAAUCUCUCUCAAGUGGAAAAGAAGAGCGAGAUGAAAUAAUGAAGUCACUGCAGAGUUUACAGACAGAAAGCGACCAGUUAAGCCAGACAGUGCUGUAUCUGAAACAAGAGAGAGACAAACUAACCGAUUCUCUUAAGUGUCUGAAGGAAAAGACAGACCAGGAACAAAUAUCUCACAGUUUAAAAGAAGAACACGACAGGUUGAUGAAGUCAGUAAGCAGCUUGGAAGAAGAAAAAAGAAGAACUGAACAUUCAGUCAGUUGUUUGAAACAAGCAGAAGAGCAGAUAAUGCAGGUAAUUCAAGACCUUAGAGAAGAAACAGACAGCCUACAAGGUCUCAGCAUCCAAAAACAAACAGAGGAGAGGAAUCAGAAGCAGCAGAUGCUGAAUUCAAGCAGCGCUGGUUUGACGAAGAAGAGUGAGAUUCCUGCUGAGACUGCAGAUUGUGCUACACAAAGAUGCCAGACUAAUAACCAUGGCGGAAACUUAAUACAGCAGGAAGAAAAUGAUCUGAUGAGAGAGAUUGAAACUUUGGGAGCAGAGCUAAAGAGGUCACGGGAGGAAAUGAACAAGAGCCGUGCAGAGAUCAAGAGGCUUCAGGGUGAACUGCGUCAUUCAGAAACGAGGAGGGAGGAGGUGGAGAGAAAGGCGAGCCAAGCAGCUGAAAACGCGAUGAAGCUUACAGAUGUUGAAAAUCAGAUGGAAGAAAUCAAGAAGGAAAAUUACAACCUCACAACCCAGGUGAAGGAGCUGCAGAACAAACUGACAGGCCUGCUCAGGGAGAAGACUGACAUGCUGUCACUCAAGGCUCAAACAGAGGAGCGAUAUAACAUCCUCACAGCUCAGCUCAAAGCCAAGACUGUUGCUCUAGAGGAGCUGAACUCGGAGUAUAUAGCUCUGAAAAGAGGACAAGGCAGCAGGGAUGACAUCAGUACUGUUCUUGUCUCACUCAGGGCACGUUACAAUGACAUCAGAGCUAAGUAUGAUGCGCUGCUGAAAAGGAAAAGCCAGACAGACCUGGAUAUACCGCCUUUAAAGGCCAAGCUGUCUUGCCUAGUGGUGAAGUGUCAGGAGAGGAACAGCUUAUUAGAUCAGAUGAUGAAGAUCUUGCAGAGACAAGGCUGUAUGAACCCCUACCUCACACAGCAGGUCGAACAUCUGCUCAGCGAUGCCGCUCUGCAGGAGUACACUGCAGCAUUCACUUUGGAAAAUAACACAAAGACCCGGGAUUACGCUAGUGGGUUUACUCCUGAAUUUAGUUCAAAAUGUAAAAGCUGCACCAGUGAAUUCAUGCCUGAGUGGACCUGCCCGGUUGUAUCCACCUCUGUAAAAAAGCACCAACAAACUGGAGUCACACCUGAAGCUGGAGUAGAGGGCAGAGGGAAAGAAAUGUCCAUAGUUUCCACUGAAUCUCCAGCAAAUCAUCAAGACUACGGUAGUGAAUUCACACCUGUACUCACAGGAUCGCUAAAGAAAGACGCCAACUCAUCUGUGCCAUCCUCACCAGUGCAAGAGCAAGCCACCGUCCAGGCGUCAGCGUCACCUGUUCUUCCACCAAAUGAGCGAGAAAUCACUGAUACAGUGCCGCUGUCUCCUUCUGCCGGUGGACCACCCCAAGCAGCCAGUCAACCAGAGAAAUUUGUGUUUCAUCAUCCGGAGAUAAAGAAAGAGAAGUCCUCCCUCUGUGCCACCAAUGUGACUGGAUACUUGUUGAGUCCUACCAUUCCCUCCUCUGUCUCCUUUGCCAGUCCAAAGAGGAGGCUGAGUAGUCCUGAGAAGAUCCUUAACCUCCAUGAACAGCUACAGAAGACCCUGAGGAGCAGCUUUGAGGCUCCAAAGAGCAGAGGAAGAGGACAGGACCCCAGGAGGAGUCCAUCACUGUCAGCUCCUGCAGACCUGAACAAAGCCUCUCAGACUAAGAAGCUGAGCUUGAGUUUCAAUAAUGCACAGAUCAACUCUCUCACAGUCACCACUGCUAUGAGCCAAGCCCCACACACUCCAGUAGUAACAACUAAACCAGUUGCCGCUAACAAGUCACCAACACUUUUUGAAGCAGUUGCAUCUAGAUCAGCUAAUGCAACCUUCAGUCCCAGCAUCUUUACUAACCGUCACCUUAAAGCAGACACAUCUGCUCUUUCUAGCUCUUCUAACUUUACUUUUUCCACCCCGGCUGCAAACAACGUCAAAUCCAUUUUAAGUAAUGGCACUAAUGAAACAUUAUCCUCAAAAAUUACAAAGGAAAUCACUGCAAUCCCUGAUGUAUCCUAUGCCGCAUGUAAAGCUUCUCUACAGAGGGUUGCUACUUUUGACUCUGCUGUUACUAAUCCAAAAGCCACUUCCUCAGAUGCAACUGCCCCUCAAAUAUCAACUGCCCCUGAAGUUACAACUUUCCACAUGACUUCUAAAAUGGAUGGUGCUAUCCCUGAAGUUUCUCAGUCCAGUCAGCUGUCUCACUGCUCUCCUGAGAGAUCGAACAAGUUUGCCACAACAUUCACCGCUCGUUUAGGAAAAAGACCCAAGCCAGAAGCUCCAGCCGAGGUUCGUUCUGUUGAGGUCAUCAAAACAGUGGGUCAGAGCAACCUUAUGAUUGGCUGGGAGAGACCACCACUCGAUGAGCUGGGAUGCAGUAAUGGCACGUUUGUGUAUGGCUACAGGGUGUAUGUUGAUGGGGACUUUCACAAAUCUGUCAUGAGCUCAGCAUGCACCAAGUGUAUUCUUGAAAAUAUCGACCUGAGUGUCCCUGUCCAGAUCAGUGUGCAGACACUGGGAUCUAAUGGACUUAGUUCAGAUAGUGUACACACCGUGUUUCGGACCUCAGUUAGAACUGAGCCACAGUGAAGCCACAGAGACGCUCAGAUCAGCAGAAAUACUGCAGAUUCUCAAUGAAAACUCUGAAUUCGCAGAAACAUCUAUAUCUGCAGGCCUCCGAGGGAGCGCCCUCACCUCUGCCUCGACUGAGACACAGUCACGCUGCUGGAUAACCGCUCCACGUCAGGCUCAGGUCAACCAAUCAGAAAAAACUCCUCUCACACGGUUAUUGCCAGCCUAUGAUCAUGCGGUGACCUGUGGUCGGCCACUAAACCUCGAAAUGAUGAACUAAAGAUGUCAUACAAAAUACUGUGUAAGAUCCUUGCCUCGGCUCUCAGAGUUAAUGUGCAUGUAAAAGCAGGUCGAUCCUCGUUGGAGGACCUUUCUGUUUCACAGUCUCAUCUGCUGGACUUCUUAAAUGAGCGAGACGUUGUGCUUGCCGGUCCACACGAUUGCCAGUUUUCUCAUGAAAAACUGCUAAGUGCAAAUGUUUAUGAAGCCAAGCUGAAUCACUGUAAAACGCUGCCUGUGACACCAACAUUUACUAACACUGGUCAAACAAGACAUAAAAAUGACAGAGGGAUGUCUGCUUCUGCUGCACUUUUACACUGUGUUAAACACAGGGAGAUAAUGUGUCACACUGCUUGUCAUAUUACUGUCUCUGUGGACUGUGGACCUGAGCAGCUGCCUAAAGGGACAUGAAGUAUUUGAAAAGCCUUUUCGACAGCAACACACACUGUAAAAUGUGCUGACACAACCUUGUACACAAAGUUCACAGUACUUGAUUUUUACGCGCGAAGCCAAAUAUUUGAAAAGAUGUUUCACUCCAAAGACUUCUCUGUUUCCUUCUCCUCAUAGGUCUACAGGACUUCUUUAAUCACAGAUGGCAGAUGUUGUUUAAGUUUGAAAAAUUUGCACACAAUCAGUAUUGAAAUCUAGAAGAAGAAAUUUUAAAGAAGAGAUUAUCACUGAUAUUUUUUUGUAGAGAUUAUAAAAAAAUAUGCCAAUAUACCACACACUGUAUGUCUUUUUGUAUGAGUGACACUUUCAUACCUAAUAGAUGUCAUAUUUGCACGCUUGCAUUAUUAUUUUUUUUUAAUUAUAACACACAUACUAUGUUCUUUUUACUAUUAACUGUAUGUACGGGUGCAGAGUGAUCAUGGUGCAGCAAAGGUAUUUUUCUAUCAGUAAUUGAUAAUAUUGUUUUCCCAUUGAUUCCUUACAGCUGUGCAGAGAAUAAAUGUUUAUAUACAGUCUA
Molecule: RNA transcript, 6755 nt
Organism: Oreochromis niloticus (Nile tilapia)
Lineage: Eukaryota; Metazoa; Chordata; Actinopteri; Cichliformes; Cichlidae
Gene name: girdin
Exons: 19
Source: RefSeq, a predicted model, not a curated record